CCUUCGAUAGCUCAGUUGGAAGAGCGCAAGACUGUAAAGGUUACACCCAAGGCGAUCUUGAUGUCGCUGGUUCGAUCCCGGCUCGAAGGA
Molecule: transfer RNA, 90 nt
Filed under: Lentinus tigrinus ALCF2SS1-7
Lineage: Eukaryota; Fungi; Basidiomycota; Agaricomycetes; Polyporales; Polyporaceae
Also listed under: 1 other name
Description: tRNA-Tyr
Rfam family: tRNA
About the family: Transfer RNA (tRNA) molecules are approximately 80 nucleotides in length. Their secondary structure includes four short double-helical elements and three loops (D, anti-codon, and T loops). Further hydrogen bonds mediate the characteristic L-shaped molecular structure. tRNAs have two regions of fundamental functional importance: the anti-codon, which is responsible for specific mRNA codon recognition, and the 3' end, to which the tRNAs corresponding amino acid is attached (by aminoacyl-tRNA synthetases). tRNAs cope with the degeneracy of the genetic code in two manners: having more than one tRNA (with a specific anti-codon) for a particular amino acid; and 'wobble' base-pairing, i.e. permitting non-standard base-pairing at the 3rd anti-codon position.
Source: RNAcentral